RNAcentral lists this ribosomal RNA (442 nucleotides) under uncultured Symbiodinium. RNAcentral's name for it is "partial Bacterial large subunit ribosomal RNA". It matches the Rfam family "Bacterial large subunit ribosomal RNA", at positions 20 to 478 of the family's 2925-position model. The record is from RNAcentral. Lineage: Eukaryota; Dinophyceae; Suessiales; Symbiodiniaceae.
CACGGUGGAUGCCUAGGCAUACAGAGGCGAUGAAGGACGUGUAAAGCUGCGAUAAGCUGCGGGGAGCUGCAUACGAGCAAUGAUCCGCGGAUGUCCGAAUGGGGCAACCCAUCCCGAUUUAUCGGGAUACUCCUACGGGAGAGCAAACGAGGGGAACUGAAACAUCUAAGUACCCUCAGGAAAAGAAAACAAGUUAGUGAUUUCCCAAGUAGCGGCGAGCGAACGGGAAGCAGCCCAAACCGACUUCCUACGGGGAGUCGGGGUAGUAGGACCUGCAUAAUUGAAGCAAGCUUAAGUCGAAACUGCCUGGAAAGCAGUCCCACAGAAGGUGAAAGGCCUGUAGGCGUACGGCGAGCGGAGAGGCGGGUAUCCUGAGUAGCGCGAGGCCGGUGAAACCUUGCGUGAACCAGCCGGCACCAUCCGGUAAGGCUAAAUACUCCUG